CGCUGGCGGCGUGCUUAACACAUGCAAGUCGAACGGAGAUUAUUAAUGAAGCUUGCGAUUUAAUAAUCUUAGUGGCGGACGGGUGAGUAACGCGUGGGCAACCUACCCAUAAGCGGGGGAUAACAGUUGGAAACGACUGCUAAUACCGCAUAAGCUAUUAAGGUCACAUGACCUUAAUAGUAAAGGUGGCGAUUUUUACAUUGCUAUCACUUAUGGAUGGGCCCGCGUCUGAUUAGCUAGUUGGUGGGAUAGCAGCCUACCAAGGCAACGAUCAGUAGCCGGCCUGAGAGGGUGGACGGCCACACUGGGACUGAGACACGGCCCAGACUCCUACGGGAGGCAGCAGUGGGGAAUAUUGCGCAAUGGGGGAAACCCUGACGCAGCGACGCCGCGUGAGCGAAGAAAAGGCCUUAGGGUCGUAAAGCUCUGUUGUAAGGGACGAAUGUUUAUCUGGCGAACAGUCAGAUAAAGUGACGGUACCUUACCAGCAAGCCCCGGCUAACUACGUGCCAGCAGCUGC
RNAcentral lists this ribosomal RNA (520 nucleotides) under uncultured bacterium. Its description in RNAcentral is "bacterial SSU rRNA". It matches the Rfam family "Bacterial small subunit ribosomal RNA", at positions 34 to 518 of the family's 1533-position model. The record is from RNAcentral.